GAAAUGCGAAAAGUAGUGUGAAUUGCAGAAUUCCGUGAAUCAUCGAAUCUUUGAACGCACAUUGCGCCCCUCGGUAUUCCGUGGGGCAUGCCUGUUCGAGCGUCAUUUACACCCUCAAGCUCUGCUUGGUGUUGGGCGUCUGUCCCGCCAUCCACGCGUGGACUCGCCCCAAAGUUAUUGGCAGCGGUCGUACCAGCUUCUCGUGCAGCAAUCGCGCUUCUCGAAGCCCUGGUGGAUCGGCGUCCAGCAAGCCUUCUAUAACUUGACCUCGGAUCAGGUAGGGAUACCCGCUGAACUUAA
This 300-nucleotide unclassified non-coding RNA is filed under the name uncultured Massarinaceae. Its description in RNAcentral is "sequence contains ITS1". The stretch from base 1 to 105 matches the Rfam family "5.8S ribosomal RNA", at positions 50 to 154 of the family's 154-position model. Lineage: Eukaryota; Fungi; Ascomycota; Dothideomycetes; Pleosporales; Massarinaceae. The record is from RNAcentral.